RNAcentral lists this ribosomal RNA (264 nucleotides) under Triticum aestivum (bread wheat). RNAcentral's name for it is "partial small subunit ribosomal RNA". Lineage: Eukaryota; Viridiplantae; Streptophyta; Magnoliopsida; Poales; Poaceae. The record is from RNAcentral.
AUGGACACUAAGAAGUAUCUUGCUUUUCCUUUGGUGUAUCAACUUCUAAAGCUGGUGCUAAUUUUGUUGGUUGCCACGGCGUCAGUGGAGAGAUGCUUUUCAGUAAUGAAUAUUGUGAAGAGUGUUUUCUGCAACAAAAUGGGUGACCAGUUCAUGAGUGAUUGCUUGAUUUGCUAUGUGGAGAAAGAUAUAUUUACUACCAUUACAAAUGACACCGUAAUUAAUCUAUUUAAGAAGAUGGGAGAUCGAGAAGGCAAGUUAUAA